Molecule: transfer RNA, 58 nt
Filed under: Echinococcus equinus
Lineage: Eukaryota; Metazoa; Platyhelminthes; Cestoda; Cyclophyllidea; Taeniidae
Description: tRNA-Ser
Source: RNAcentral
ACCUGUGUUUAUACUUGAUUUGAAAUCAUUUUAGUUGUUUUUAUUGACAAAACAGGUU